This 497-nucleotide ribosomal RNA is filed under the name uncultured bacterium. Its description in RNAcentral is "partial 16S ribosomal RNA". It matches the Rfam family "Bacterial small subunit ribosomal RNA", at positions 28 to 507 of the family's 1533-position model. The record is from RNAcentral.
GAUGAACGCUGGCGGCGUGCCUAAUACAUGCAAGUCGAGCGAACAGACGAGGAGCUUGCUCCUCUGACGUUAGCGGCGGACGGGUGAGUAACACGUGGAUAACCUACCUAUAAGACUGGGAUAACUUCGGGAAACCGGAGCUAAUAUCGGAUAAUAUAUUGAACCGCAUGGUUCAAUAGUGAAAGACGGUUUUGCUGUCACUUAUAGAUGGAUCCACGCCGCAUUAGCUAGUUGGUAAGGUAACGGCGUACCAAGGCAACGAUGCGUAGCCGACCUGAGAGGGUGAUCGGCCACACUGGAACUGAGACACGGUCCAGACUCCUACGGGAGGCAGCAGUAGGGAAUCUUCCGCAAUGGGCGAAAGCCUGACGGAGCAACGCCGCGUGAGUGAUGAAGGUCUUCGGAUCGUAAAACUCUGUUAUUAGGGAAGAACAAAUGUGUAAGUAACUAUGCACGUCUUGACGGUACCUAAUCAGAAAGCCACGGCUAACUACGUG